AGGGGAAACGCCCGGUUACAUUCCGAACCCGGAAGCUAAGCCCUCCAGCGCCGAUGGUACUGCACUCGUGAGGGUGUGGGAGAGUAGGACGCCGCCGGAC
RNAcentral lists this ribosomal RNA (100 nucleotides) under Micromonospora sp. H61. Lineage: Bacteria; Bacillati; Actinomycetota; Actinomycetes; Micromonosporales; Micromonosporaceae. The record is from RNAcentral.